RNAcentral lists this small RNA (72 nucleotides) under Arabidopsis thaliana (thale cress). RNAcentral's name for it is "ATSL195980". The record is from RNAcentral. Lineage: Eukaryota; Viridiplantae; Streptophyta; Magnoliopsida; Brassicales; Brassicaceae.
UGAUACAUUUAUAUAAUUAUUAACUUAUGAUAUUGAUGGACCAUAUAUAUACAUAGGACUUUCAAAAAAAAA